This 390-nucleotide ribosomal RNA is filed under the name uncultured bacterium. RNAcentral's name for it is "bacterial SSU rRNA". It matches the Rfam family "Bacterial small subunit ribosomal RNA", at positions 28 to 419 of the family's 1533-position model. The record is from RNAcentral.
GAUGAACGCUAGCGGUGUGCUUAAAGCAUGCAAGUCGAACGUGAUCCUUGGAUUCGUUCAAGGUGAAAGUGGCGAACGGGUGAGUAACGCGUUGGUGAUCUGCCCCGGAGUGGGGGAUAACUAUCGGAAACGAUAGCUAAUACCCCAGAUGUCCUCGUGUUUGGAAAGCGAUGACUAAAGUUCAGGCGCUCCGGGAGGAGCCUGCGUCCCAUCAGCUAGUUGGUAGGGUAAUGGCCUACCAAGGCAAAGACGGGUAGGGGGCGUGAGAGCGUGGCCCCCCACACUGGUACUGACACACGGACCAGAUGCCUACGGGUAGCAGCAGCUAGGAAUAUUGGGCAAUGGGCGAAAGCCUGACCCAGCAACACCGCGUGAAGGACGACGGCCUUC